Long non-coding RNA from Numida meleagris (helmeted guineafowl), 3584 nucleotides. RefSeq lists it as uncharacterized. The transcript is spliced from 3 exons. Lineage: Eukaryota; Metazoa; Chordata; Aves; Galliformes; Numididae. The record is from RefSeq and is a predicted model, not a curated record.
GUAGGGGAGGGGCCCUCCAGAACCCAGCUGAGGGAGACACGGCUGACAGGCCGGCUAGAGUAGCCGUGGAGGAGACCUUGGCUCCCCUCCCACCAUGAAAAUAAAAUCAACCACUUUAUUUCCCAUUAAGGGAGUAACUAGAGAAGAGAGGUGGCCCUUGGGGCCUGGCUUUUUCUUUCCUGAGGGAAGAGAGCCCCAGUAGCAGAGCAGCUGUGGUGAGGGAAAGCUGUGGGUGCCUAGCUGUGGGCCCUGAGGGAGCCCUGUGGCUGGAGCCAGACACUGCUGGCAGCUUUUUGAGGCUUGCUAGCAGGUGCUAGUAUGUGGACACAUCUAAUAUAUUAGGUUGUAGUGACCUUGUGAGGUAGGAUGGAAUGUGACAAGACUUGUCUACAGGCCAGGGCUGUGAGCUGUGGUCCUUGUGAACUGCUGCCGAUGGGAUAGCUCCACUUUUUCACUGCCCAGCGCAGCCCUACUGAAGAGUAUGGCUGAGGGAUGCUGCUGUGUAUGAAGUGUAAGCUAAGAAAUAAUGUUGCUCAGAUGAAUUUAGAAACACAAGGAGGUAUGAACAUGCUUUCACCAUCAUGCAGAUUCAAGGAAUUUCAAGAACUUUCUACUGGAUUUUCAACUUUUUCCCUCUGUGUAUAAUUAUUUCAUAGUCUCACUGCAUAAGUUCAUCUCUUUCUCUUUGAAAUAUUUCUUUGGUCAGUUAUGUGUCUUCCUAUAACUUACAGUAUAAAAAGGGGAAAAUGCCUUCACUGUUAUAUGAAGAGAGUUGUUGCUUUGUAGUUCUUUUUGCAAACUUUCGUGUAAUCUGGAAGCAGGAUGGUUUCUGUAUAUGCAGUUAAUUAAUCAAAUGUUGGAAAACAUGGUACUGAAUGGAUGAAUGGACACGUACUGCUGAAAAUCCCAAGAAGUUGGGAUUGGGGUAACUGAGCACCUUUACAGAGGGGUAGGUUGCCUUUAUCACAUAUCAGACUGUGUGUGGGUAGUUCAAGAGAAGAAAAAAUGAAACGGAGAAAGAGCUCCUGAAGAGAGAACCUGAAGAGACUUCAGAAAAGGAGCCCCAAGAGAAAGCAUAGAGAAACAGAGCAGUUUAGUCAAUUGGGCUGUGGCCGUUUCAACCCUGAAAAACCCCAAAAGCUGAAAGAAUGAACGAGAAGAUGAAAUGGAGGAGAAGAGGUGAGAGAAUAACUUCAAUUGCUUAUGGGGGGGGGGGGGGAAGUCUUAAUCUGUUUGACCCAUCAUUUGAGGCAUUCUUGCAGGGGUGCAUAUGAAUUUAAGAACUGUCACUGUCAAUCACUUGUGGAGUCUUGUGGAGCAGUUUUGAGCUUGUGAAACAGCAGUGGUUUUUAUGGAACAACUCUGAAUGCAUCACUCAGCAGAUAGAUGCUGCAGGGAAACUUUUGUUCUGAGGAGUGUGUGUUUGACUCUAAUGUGCUGCCUUGCCUAACAAAUGUCAGCAUAAACCAGAGACGUGCAGAAAGGGUGAGCCAGGAAGAAGUGGGAUAGAGGCAUGGUAUGUGUGAGAACUAUGAGGAUUGGGUGAAGUUAGAGUGACUAGUGAGAAAUCUUAUUUGUUUUGCAAUGUGGCACCAUUUGGUGAUGGUAUGCCGUUGUAACUAAAAUGUUGUCUUGUGACUUCUUCUGGGUUGUUUCUUACGUUGAAGAUAAGGAUUUACAGUAACAAUCAUUACCUGGAAGUUUCGCUGAAAGUUGGGUGACUUGGAAGUGUUGAAGUAGUUAAAUGCACUGUAAAGUUCUAAACCAAACUUCACCGUUAUCUCUCUGCAAAAGAGUAGUGCGGGCAUUUAAAAUUAAAAUAGUAGAAAGGUGGAAAUGAUACGUAAGUGUGUUAAAUUUUAUUAAAAAGAAAUCAUUCCAGGAGACCUCAUUAAGCCAGGACGAUAUUCUAAAAGUGAAUAUACAUGUUGACAGCUACACCCAUAAAUUUGAAAACUGCAAACAUGUUCAGCAUAAAAGCCAUUUUUGAAAAAAGCUGUUGCUCUGCCCUUGUACUAAUUUAAGAAUUGUUCUUCUGAUUUUUAUAGUUUCUCUUCACAUAUAUAACUGGGACAGUUUAAAAAAUACUUUGAAGAAUCUUUCAUGAUGUCAUAAACUUCAUAAUGCAGAUUAUUUUUAAAAACAUAUGCAUUUUAUAAAAAUUUGAAGUGUUAAAUAAGCUCAGUAACACCAUUCUUUUCUAAAGAAGUAAAAUGAACUGUCCUUAGGCUGUACCUCUGUGUGGUGUUCUUGCAAUGUUUCCCAGGAGCAGGAAUGUUAGUUAAAAUAUCUUGACUGCAGCAUUUGUCUUGGGGAAUCGGCUCUCUUGUUCUAUUAAUGCUGUGUCUGAACACACAAAAUCUUCACGAGUACGAGGCACUUAUUUCAGUACCUCUGUGUCAGGGCACAUCCAAGGUAAAGGCAUAUUCGAGUUGUUUUCAGGAAACUAGGGACUUGCAUUAGCCCAACUUGGAGGAAGUGUAGCCAGCAUGGGAAGGCAGAGCAUUCUGCCUAUGGGCACAGACUCUACCGAGGAACAAGAUGCAGCUGGCUGUGACCUCAGGCUUGUUUUCUCAUCGGUGUGGGAGGAAGGAGGAGGAAAGGUUCUAUUGGUCCACUCUGUGUAGGUGGAAAGAAGAUGAUAUUCAGAAGCUAGAAGAAUUGUAAAUGAAGAUCAGUAAUGAGAAAUCCCACCGCAAAGAGUAUGGAAAGAUAACAAAAAGUCUUUAGGUGACUGAAAGGAACUGAGCAAGGACAAGACUUUGAGUUGGAAUAGUUCUUAGGAAGAAACAUAAAAUGUGAUUUUUCCUUUUUACAAAUUUGAGCAGGCAAGAAUAUAUUUUUUCUUACUGCUCGUAUCCAAAUUUUUUGUGUAUGAUCUGAUCACUUAUUUUUGUCAUAUUUAGCAGGUAGCUCGUAAGUCUUCUGUGGCCCUACUUUGCAUUUGCUUGAGAAGGGAUUGUUUCACACUUAGGUGUGUCUGUUCCCUUUCCUCUUCUCACAACUGGCUAGUGAUGCAGUUGUUUUCUCUACUGCAUGAACCAAUGUGAAAAUAACCUUGAAUUAAAAUAUUUUUCAUAAAAUAUUCCUCUGGCUUCUUUUCUGAGUGAUGUUGCAAUAAAGAAUCAGACAGACAAACACGAUGGAGCUUUGGCAUUUGAGAUAAAUCAGUAACUUGCCAAUAGAAACAGUACUUACGAUAAAGAUUUUGAUAUGUGGACCGAACUCUGUCAUCCUAUAGCAGUUCAAAAAUUUUGAUCGGUAGACAGUAUGUUUACUUUGAUAAUAAAUGGAAGACUGAGGUAGAACUAUAAGGUAAAUCCUCAAGGAUUCGCAUUAAUACAUGCAUGCUCAAAUAUUGAUGAGAUUCCAGUUAAGACCUUGUCUUAACAGCCAGAAAUACAGCUUUGCUGCUGAAGGGCUGUCAGGCAUGUUGCUCUGCAGAAAUGAGAUCUGCACAGAGUAAAGUUGUAAAAGGUACGGAGUUCCCAGACAAAACUGACACAGAAUCUUUCUAAUGAGAUUAAUUGCUGACAUAAUUGUGCUGUUCCUGGCCUCUUUCAAUCUAACUGAACAUAAGCUCC